Molecule: long non-coding RNA, 501 nt
Organism: Hypanus sabinus (Atlantic stingray)
Lineage: Eukaryota; Metazoa; Chordata; Chondrichthyes; Myliobatiformes; Dasyatidae
Exons: 3
Source: RefSeq, a predicted model, not a curated record
UCAAAAAAAAAUUAGGGAAGAACUUUACCCUUCGAUGUUACGGUACAAGAGGCUGGCAGCCAAAAAAUGCAUACUGGAAGCUCAGUCACAAGCAGCUGUUGAUUUAAUGAAUGAAGGAAAUCAUAAUAACUUGUGCCCAAAUUUGUGAUAAAUGUCUCUGCCUUGCCAAGCUCUUAUGCCCAAGCAUUGAAAAGGAAAAUCUGCCCUUGAAAUGACCAUCAAUUGGAUUUUCCACACUGCUGCAUUCAUGCACAUAAAUGCUGCACCUGUCUGCAUAAGGCAUGGCAACUCUGUUAAAAACAUUCACUCGUCUUUACAAAUCAACAACUUCAAGUGCUCAUGGUAAAAAAAAAAGGGAUAUCGCUGUCCAGGAUACCUCGUCACAGAACUAAAGAACUCGUGCAUUCCAGUCUUGAAACAGUGCAGCAUUUAUCAAAUUCACUUCAGCAGUCUGUUCACCUGAGGAUGGAAGAAAGCGGAAUCCCUCCUGAGGGACGUCAG